Molecule: ribosomal RNA, 364 nt
Filed under: uncultured bacterium
Lineage: Bacteria
Description: partial 16S ribosomal RNA
Rfam family: Bacterial small subunit ribosomal RNA
Source: RNAcentral
CCUACGGGAGGCAGCAGUGGGGAAUAUUGCGCAAUGGGCGAAAGCCUGAUGCAGCGAUGCCGCGUGUGGGAUGAAGGUCUUCGGAUCGUAAACCACUGUCAGCAGGGAAGAACGGUCUCUGUGCUAUUCAGCAGUGAAUUGACGGUACCUGCAAAGGAAGCACCGGCUAACUCCGUGCCAGCAGCCGCGGUAAUACGGAGGGUGCGAGCGUUAAUCGGAAUUACUGGGCGUAAAGCGCUCGUAGGCGGUCUGUCAAGUCAAGGGUGAAAUCCCCGGGCUCAACGUGGGAACUGCCUUUGAAACUGGCAAACUGGAGGGUGUGGGAGGAUAGUGGAAUGCCAGGUGUAGGAGUGAGAGCCGUAGA